This 943-nucleotide long non-coding RNA is filed under the name Fukomys damarensis (Damara mole-rat). Its description in RNAcentral is "lncRNA (ENSFDAG00000026638.1)". Lineage: Eukaryota; Metazoa; Chordata; Mammalia; Rodentia; Bathyergidae. The record is from RNAcentral.
AUGGAGUCUCAGAAAGCAGAGCUCGGGCCAGGAAGGAGGAACAGGGAAUGCCUCACCCCAAAGCGGGCACCUGAGCGAGCCCCAGAGAUGGCCCAGCCGAGGCACGGGGGUCCCAGUGUCCUCAGUGCCAUUUCCCCAGCACUCGGGCAUCUGUGGCCUCCCAACCCCACCGGCUCUGCCCGGCCUGGGACCUGUGGCCCGGGUCAGAACAGCCAGCCUCACUGGGCCAGCCAGGAUGUGGCUUUCCUGUCUUGGCAGGUGGAGGCUUCGUGGGCUUCAGUUAGAGUCGCUCGGAAGCUUCCGGAAGCAGGCGGGGAGACNNNNNNNNNNNNNNNNNNNNUGGCAGGAGCCCCGUCCUGCCCACUGCCUCGGACCACCGCCGGCCUGCACGUCCACCCCGCACACCUCCAGCGCUGUGUGCGCGGCUGGGGAUGCCCGUCAACUGCUCCCCUUCAUCAGCAGCCCCGGUUGGAGCGGGCAUGUCCUUCGCAGCAGGAAAAAGCAGUCAUGAAACUCGUCAUGGUGGGGUAUUGGCCACUGUGGCAGAGGGAAGAAGCCACCACCUACUGCUGCCCCCACCAGAUCCAGCUUUAGUCCCAACCUUCACCCCUUUGUCAGCUUGAAGCAGCUCCAGAAGAAGAGACCUUCACCCAAUAACCAUAAAACAAAAGCCUGGAAUGUUAGAUUUCCUUCACCUUAAGAUUGCUGCUACAUAAAAGGAAUAGCCUUCUUCCCAUGAUGCCCUGCUUCUCACCUAAAAACAUGGCUUCCCCCACUAAAGGAUGCCUUCUUCUUCCCAUCAUGCCUCCUUUCCUGCCAAGAAGGAAGCCCCUCCUUGUGAUGUCACAAGCUCCCCCAAUCCCUAGCCACUACAUCACUCAUUCCCACCCCAGCUCCUAUAAGCCCCAGCCCAGUCCUAUAAGAAUCACUCCCUGUCCCGGCC